Long non-coding RNA from Cyprinus carpio carpio, 623 nucleotides. Lineage: Eukaryota; Metazoa; Chordata; Actinopteri; Cypriniformes; Cyprinidae. The record is from Ensembl.
GUCUGCAGCCUUUGUCUGCGCUGAUCUUCAGAUACAAAUGCGUCAUUAAAAUGAACUGUAACUCAGUGAAUACUCAACGAAGAGACAUGAGAGAGAUAUCUAUAGAAAGCCUGACAUGUCUACUUUUAAACUAAACAAGUGCUGCUGAAAACAAAUAUUCUGUGAUAAAGUAAUCCAUAUGAAAACAACGCGAUGUCCGUUUUUCACGUCUCCCUUCAUUAUCUUGUAAUGCGACCACGCCCCCGCGCCGAGCGCGCUUUUGAGAUUCAAAUGUUUCACUGAAGCGCGCGGCUUUUGAAUACGCCCACACAACAGAAGACAACGCAGCGAGACUGUUCUUCAAGUUUUUAUUAUUUUACUGUUUGCUUCGCGAUGAGAGGAAUAAGACAUAAUUCACCCCAAAAAGAUGUGAUGUGGUUGAGGAUUUGAGAUUUGGAUUUCCUCAGAAAAAAGAAUGAAGCACUUUAUUCAGCAGAGAUCAUAAACAUGAGGACACAUGAGAGACACGUGUGUUUAUCUGGUGAAGAGUGACUGAUGAAUGAAUGCUGCCAUCAAACCCUCAAUCUUUUGUGGUGGAGCAGGUGACGGUGGCAUUUGUGAAAAAAAAAGGAAAACCUGAAACC